CUUUGGCUGGGCUGGGUGUGGGUGUUAAUCUUUUCCUGUCUUGUGUGUGCUGUGCUCACAAAGGCUUUUUGCUCCCUCGGGGUGAGGUGUGGUUUUGGCCGAAGAUGAGGUGUUUUGGUAGCCCUGUGGAUGCUGUGUGGUGUCUGGAAUGGGGCGUGUGUGUUCCCAUCAUGCCCCUUCCCCUCUGCCUGCAGAGCUGAGGACAGACAGGUCUGAGGAGCAGAGCAGGAGCUCUGGGAAGGAGAAGAGCAAUAUGAAGAUGGAGUGUAAGAUGAGGCCAGCAAGGGAAAAGAAGUCGUGGGGAUGGAGUCCAGCCCUGAGGUGAGAUGGAAAGUGAUCAAGAGCAGUGACAGCGUGAAUCCUGUUGAUGCCAGGCAAGAGCUGCCCAACUGGGACAAGAGUAACCGUCUCUGUCGGCAGCACUCAGCAGAGUCUGGCCCUGUUGUUACACUGGUGCCUACAUCCAGCGCACACCUGUGCGUAAUGCGCUCCUGGAGAGCUCAGGCAGGGAGAAGCAUGUGGCUCAUGGCUGCAGAACCAGCUACUCCAAAGAGUGCCGCAGAUCUCCCCCUCCUUGGGCAGCAACACCCUGACCGGGGGGUUCCCUGUCCCUCCUUGCUGCCAAAGCAGCCUGCUCAGCGCAGAAA
This is a long non-coding RNA of Gopherus evgoodei (Goodes thornscrub tortoise), 647 nucleotides long. RefSeq lists it as uncharacterized. NCBI's taxonomy places the organism in Eukaryota, Metazoa, Chordata, Testudines, Testudinidae. The record is from RefSeq and is a predicted model, not a curated record. The transcript has 3 exons.